UUCGGAGUUAGGGCGGAUAUUAUGUUUGAGGUCAUUCGUGAGAAUUAGUUGUACGAUGCUGGUUGCACGGAAUAAAGUCCCUAAAGUAAUGUAGGGAUUCAGACUAAUAGUAAGAAUCGAGAGCACCGCGCGUAGAUUAUCGAAGCUUCGUGCAGUUUUUCACAAUUCAUCCCUUUGAUCAAGGUGAUCAUAGUCGUGAACGGAGAUUUUUUUAAACUGAUUCCCAGUGUACCAACCUGUCUGACAAUAAGAAUAUAUAUAUAUAUAGUGCAGUAAAAGCCUAUUGUUUAAAUUGAUGAAAUUAUUCUACUCUGGUUAACUUCUUUAAACGCUCUCGAAUCUCACCAGUUGCAACCUUCACAACACUCGUUCACGGAGGUACAGUUUUUGAAUAUACGUAAAUUAAUUUAUCCUUCUGUGUCAAAUCGUUAUAAUGGUAAAAGACAAAAAGUAACUGAAAGAUAAAAUAAAUGCAAAUUUUUAUAUUUAUCGUAUGGUAUGAAAUUGAUACAAGGGACGAAUUAAGGUUAACAAAAUUCGAUUAUAGUCGAAGGAGGCAAUGGAAACGUUUGAUUCUUCGUUGUUUGAAAGAUGUCCCGUGCAUAAGAUGCUACACGAGGAGAAGAAUCGAUAAAUAAAAACGGAAAUUUGUUACGAUGUACAAAAUUUUUUAAGUGACAUACAUAUGUUAUCAAGAGGAAAUGGCUAUGUUGCUCACGACUCGUCACUGGGGGUCAGACGAAUCAUUUAGUUGCUUUAGCAAGACAUUCGUGAGCAAAUUCACAAAAUCAGAAGAAAAGCCGAACAAUGACAAGUCAGUUUCGGCGUCCGAUCAUCUGCCUGAAGAGAUUUCUCGGAAACAGCCAGCGAAACGCAAUGCGUUGAAUGUUGCAUCGAAAAUUGCAAAAUCGAAAACGACUAAGGCCUACAAUGACAUCGUCUUGGAAUCUAGUCACGUAAAAGCAUCAGCACUUCUAUACGAGAUAACGGAUCGCACUAAUCAGUUAGCCCAACCACGCGUUCGAACCAUUGAAGAAAAGCUGUCUCAGACACGGCCGAAUUCAACACAGAUUCCGAAAGCAUCGUCACGUAUUAUUGAACUUUCUAAGCCACGGAUCCCUUAUCGGUAUCCCCCUAAACCAAUUGGAUACGUUACGCCUGGUGCUCUCACGGCCGUCGCCACUCAGCGUAUAAUUGAAUUAUCGAAACCAAAAAAGAAGCGGAGAUCGAAAGUGUCGAGCAAAAGAAAAUCAAAAUUGCAUAAUGAAAAGUCACGAAGUUACGUAAGGCGCGGUAAAAAGAAGUUGGACCAUAAAUACACUGCGUUGCUUCGUCAUAAGAAUGAUCGAAAAAUGAGGAGCAAGAAGAGACAAUUGAAAACUUCAAACUCUGACAGGACCAUUAUUAUGGUUGGCUUGAAAUUGAAGGAUGAUAAGAGAACUCGUCGACAUUCCUGACUACUGAGAACGAAGCGUGAUGUUUUCUCACUGUCGUUCGCAGUUUCAUAACACAGUCGCUGUUUCUAAUUGAAUAACUCUAUAAAUUUUGUAUAGUAC
This is an RNA transcript of Bombus pyrosoma, 1556 nucleotides long. RefSeq lists it as uncharacterized. NCBI's taxonomy places the organism in Eukaryota, Metazoa, Arthropoda, Insecta, Hymenoptera, Apidae. The record is from RefSeq and is a predicted model, not a curated record. The transcript is spliced from 5 exons.